GUUCCUUGGAAAAGGACAGCUGAGAGGGUGAGACUCCCGUCCGCCUGGUAGAGUGAGUCUUUGUCAACGAGUCGAGUUGUUUGGGAUUGCAGCUCUAAUUUGGUGGUAAAUUCCAUCUAAAGCUAAAUAUUGGUGGGAGACCGAUAGCGUACAAGUACCGUGAGGGAAAGAUGCAAAGAACUUUGAAAAGAGAGUUAAAGAGUACCUGAAAUUGCUGAAACGGAAGCGAAGGAAACCAGUGUUUGUUGGUUCAUAUUUCCCUGGCCACUUGUGGUUUGGGCGCUGUGAGCUUGCGUGGGUUUGCUUUGGUUGAUCCCUUUGGAAGAGCGCAGUCAGAGUUGAUGUCU
This 347-nucleotide ribosomal RNA is filed under the name Pseudo-nitzschia cf. delicatissima. Its description in RNAcentral is "LSU rRNA". It matches the Rfam family "Eukaryotic large subunit ribosomal RNA", at positions 185 to 544 of the family's 3401-position model. Lineage: Eukaryota; Bacillariophyta; Bacillariophyceae; Bacillariales; Bacillariaceae. The record is from RNAcentral.